Molecule: long non-coding RNA, 1447 nt
Filed under: Citrus x clementina
Lineage: Eukaryota; Viridiplantae; Streptophyta; Magnoliopsida; Sapindales; Rutaceae
Description: Citrus clementina (C. clementina) long non-coding RNA (CCLE_LNC006725)
Source: RNAcentral
UUCUUAUAAUUGUAAUUUUUUUAUUUUUCAAAAUUUUGUGGAAUAAAUUAGUCUUUUAAUUCAUUUAAAGAUAAAAUGGUCAUUUUUAGUGUCAAAGUGGUUGAUUGAUACAAACGUAAAAACAAAGGUGGUGGAAAAUACAUGUUAAAGUUUUGUGGUUGUUAGGUAUACAUAUGACAAAAGACAGGUGGUGCAGAGAGAUAUAUAUAUAUAUAUUUUAAAACUUAGAGAGAUAAUCACAACUUGGCAAGAUAGUACCAAGUUAAAAUUCUACUACUAUUAUCUCUCUUUAAUGCUUCUCUAAAAGUAUGGAUGCACAUAUCAUAUCAAGUCAAACAUACUCACUUAUGUACUUACUAAUUCCAUUCAUCAAUCUCUAAUUUUAAUGAGGAAAAUAAGAGUAUGAAUCUCUAAAUCUGGGGCUUUACAUCUUGAUCCUACAAAGAUGCUAAAUGUGCAUAGUCCGUGGAGCAUAGUUUUGCAGAGGAUUGAAAUUUUCACUGAAAACAAUAAGGCUAUUCUUGUUUUACUUUUUGGAGGUUACAUUUUGUUCAUUAAAUGGGAAAAAAAUUAUAUUUACAUAAUUGGGUAUAUAGUUUGCAUCAAAAGUAACAUGUCAUGAGUCAAAUAUUGCCCAUUCUAUUUGCCAUUUGCUAGGUGUUAAAAUUAGUUGCAAACAAGAUAAUGUUUCUCAAUGCAGUAGGUGUUUGUAAAGGUGAAACAUGUACACUUGGAUGUGAUUAUUUGGAAAAUAAAUAAUUUAUAGAACAUCCUGUAUCGUGCUCUGGAAUCAUCUCCUGGAAAAGUCAAAAAGAAAUCUCUUUUGGUGUCUGCUCCAUUGAAUGUGAAUAUUGCCACUUCAAUAAAAUAACAAGAAAAUGUCAAAAUGGGGGAACCUAGAGUGGAGAAAGUAAAGGAUCCAUAGUGAUCCAAGUCUGUCACUCACAGGUUGGGUGGGGAGCGUCGCUCUAAGAGUGGGUGGAAAACAAUUAAAGGAAUAGAAAGGGAGAACUGGUACGGGGUUUAAACACAGACAGGAUAUAGUUAAGGAGGUUGGUAAGAAGUUGGUGAGUGCUUUUAGUGCAACUGAUUCUAAGAAGAGAGAUGGAUGCAGAGGAGUUAAUACGUAAAUGUGAAGCCAUAAUUAAGCUUAAAAUCAGAGGAAGACGAUAUAAUAAACUUUGAGGGAAGAAUGAAAGUUAGAGGAGAGAAAGUUGCAGCACACUGCCUUGUUGGGAAAAUAUUGCAGACACGUGGAGUCUCCCGUUGGUAGUGUCGUUAAGGUGCACCAAAUUUAAAACUUUACCACUAAUAUAAAUAAUUAGUACAGAGCGAGUAAGGAUCGAUCCCACAGAGACUAUGCUAGUUAUAUUUAUUAUCAACUCUAAAGCAAGAUUUAAAAUAAAAUAAUAAUAGUAAUAAUAAUAUAAAUUAAUCUAACUAAAGA